AAAACAGCAUUGAUGGAGACUUGAUCUAUUUGAUUUUAUUACAGAGAAACGGGAUUGCUGAGAACCGUUAUAAAAACUUUAGAAUGCAUAUCCCUCCUGAGCUUUAUAUCUGAAUUUUAGUAAGGUAUAACGAUUAGCCUCGUUAAAGGCUUAGGUUUAAUAGAACCGAAGAGUGGUGUAUGCAAUUAAGGUGGUACCGCGAGUCAAUCUCGUCCUUAUU
Molecule: non-coding RNA, 220 nt
Filed under: Fusibacter sp.
Lineage: Bacteria; Bacillati; Bacillota; Clostridia; Eubacteriales; Fusibacteraceae
Description: T-box sequence
Rfam family: T-box leader
About the family: Uncharged tRNA acts as the effector for transcription antitermination of genes in the T-box leader family.
Source: RNAcentral